RNAcentral lists this long non-coding RNA (785 nucleotides) under Nicotiana tabacum (common tobacco). Its description in RNAcentral is "long non-coding RNA (NTAB_LNC012277)". Lineage: Eukaryota; Viridiplantae; Streptophyta; Magnoliopsida; Solanales; Solanaceae. The record is from RNAcentral.
CAAACCAAGGCCCUUGUUUACUCGAAUUGAGUCUCUACAGACAAAGCAUCUAAUGAUAGAACACCUUAAAUAUUUGAACUAGGAUUCACAUUAAGUCAUUCUUGUCUGUCUAUCAAAUCUUACCCUAAGCAUCAGUAACUUGACAGAGGCUCAUAGGACUUUGCUAGCUUCCAAAACAGUUCAGACUCAACCUAAUAGAAGACAUAUUAUUCAUCUCAAUUAGCCCUUAUUUCCAGUACUCAAUUAACCUCUAUAAGAACAAAAUUCAGCAUACUAACUAAAAUGUCUGUCUAGAUUUACAAAUUAGAUUUCAAACCAAUCACGAUUGGAUAAAUGAACAUAUUCAAAGAAACUGAGAUAAUACAAAACUACACAUAUGAAGUAUCGUUAAUCGAACACUCAUGGUCUUGAAUUGUAUCUCAGUUACAAAGCUUCACAUCUUGCACUUCAUGAGCUAAAGAGGUCCAAGAAAUACCUGGAAAUUGACAAGGAAAAAGAAGUGAACACUCAGCAGUAAACAGUAGAAUGCAUCACCAGCAACACCAAUGCAAACUAGAAAAAUGGAUACGAAACAGUACAAGACAAUCUUAAUCGAACAAUAACCCAAAGCAACCUCAAACCAAACUUCAAACACCCAAAACUCAAUUCAUUUCAGCACCAGAUUAAUCAGAAAUUCUCCAGAAGUUAAAAGUCUUUGAAAUUAUAGAAGAGAAUGCAAUAGAACAAUAAUCUUUUUUCUUGAAGUCUAUGAAAGUAGUAAAAUUUUUGAAGUUUCUGUAUUUUUA